CCAGCCAUACUCAGUAUAUCACUAUGAGAGAAAGCUCUAAGACCCAAGAAAUCUCUAGUCAAACCCUCGCCAGCGCCUCCUCCACUACCACCACCAUUAUCAUUUGUUGUUGCUUUUGAGAGAGAGUCAUGGAAGUUCCCACCUUUCUUAGUAUUCAAAACCCCGCUAACAAAUGCAUCUUCGAAAGAGUUAGUCCCUUCAAACCCAGAAGAAGAAGAUAGAGAAUUCAUCAUUUCUUGAAUAAGGGCACCUGAGGGUGCUCCACUAGCACCAGCAGUAGUAGAACCAGAAGGAACAGCAAGUCCAGCUUUAUUCCCAAAAGGAGCCUGCAGGCCAUCAACAAAUGACCAGCCACCUGGCAGCUCUUUAUGUGAGGACAAAUUCAGACCAAAACCAGUUGUAUUUGCAUCGUUGUUGCUAGAAUUGGAAGACACGUGAGCUUGUUCGUCGUGCUGGUAGUGGUGGGGUCUCAUCAAGCCGGCAGUUUUACCGCUUAUGGUUGCGCCCAUCUGAGUUGCUUUUUGCAGCAAUGCAGUAGCUGACACGUGUGGGGAUGGAGCUGCAUGGUAAUGUGGUAGAGCGGGUCCAAGACUAGGGUUAGGGUUUGGGCUCAAUUCUUGGUGAUGGGUAAGGAUCAAAGAUGAGGAGGAGGAGAGAUGAUCAACGGGUAUCUGCCAAUGAUGUGGCCCAGCCCCAGCCCCUAGUCCUGGAGGGCAAGCAAGCCAUGGUGGUAACUCUGGCCUUAGACUAAAACUUUGUAGCUCUUUUUUAAGUGAAAAUGCAUGCAAGCCUUGAGUACUGGUAGUAUUGAAUUGGGGCAUUUGGAGAUUUAUAUUAUGACUAGUUGAAGAACCUGGAGCGGGCUGAGCGGAGUGGAGUACUGAGUUUGGUGCGCCUACGAUAGCUCUUCCAUUCUCCUCUGCUAANGGCAUCACAGAAAGCUCUGUGAGUGAUGAAACUGUCCCUCCUUGAGAAAAGGGUUCCACAGUCACAUCUGUAUUCCUUAGUGCCGCAGGUCUUGGUGUGAGCCUUCCAAUCUGAUUGAACUGCGUACCUC
This 1057-nucleotide unclassified non-coding RNA is filed under the name Hevea brasiliensis (rubber tree). The record is from RNAcentral. Lineage: Eukaryota; Viridiplantae; Streptophyta; Magnoliopsida; Malpighiales; Euphorbiaceae.